Molecule: ribosomal RNA, 1343 nt
Filed under: uncultured bacterium
Lineage: Bacteria
Description: 16S ribosomal RNA
Rfam family: Bacterial small subunit ribosomal RNA
Source: RNAcentral
GACGAACGCUGGCGGCGUGCUUAACACAUGCAAGUCGAACGGAAAGGCCCUGCUUUUGUGGGGUGCUCGAGUGGCGAACGGGUGAGUAACACGUGAGUAACCUGCCCUUGACUUUGGGAUAACUUCAGGAAACUGGGGCUAAUACCGGAUAGGAGCUCCUGCUGCAUGGUGGGGGUUGGAAAGUUUCGGCGGUUGGGGAUGGACUCGCGGCUUAUCAGCUUGUUGGUGGGGUAGUGGCUUACCAAGGCUUUGACGGGUAGCCGGCCUGAGAGGGUGACCGGCCACAUUGGGACUGAGAUACGGCCCAGACUCCUACGGGAGGCAGCAGUGGGGAAUAUUGCACAAUGGGCGGAAGCCUGAUGCAGCAACGCCGCGUGCGGGAUGACGGCCUUCGGGUUGUAAACCGCUUUCGCCUGUGACGAAGCGUGAGUGACGGUAAUGGGUAAAGAAGCACCGGCUAACUACGUGCCAGCAGCCGCGGUGAUACGUAGGGUGCGAGCGUUGUCCGGAUUUAUUGGGCGUAAAGGGCUCGUAGGUGGUUGAUCGCGUCGGAAGUGUAAUCUUGGGGCUUAACCCUGAGCGUGCUUUCGAUACGGGUUGACUUGAGGAAGGUAGGGGAGAAUGGAAUUCCUGGUGGAGCGGUGGAAUGCGCAGAUAUCAGGAGGAACACCAGUGGCGAAGGCGGUUCUCUGGGCCUUUCCUGACGCUGAGGAGCGAAAGCGUGGGGAGCGAACAGGCUUAGAUACCCUGGUAGUCCACGCUGUAAACGGUGGGUACUAGGUGUGGGGUCCAUUCCACGGGUUCCGUGCCGUAGCUAACGCUUUAAGUACCCCGCCUGGGGAGUACGGCCGCAAGGCUAAAACUCAAAGGAAUUGACGGGGCCCCGCACAAGCGGCGGAGCAUGCGGAUUAAUUCGAUGCAACGCGUAGAACCUUACCUGGGUUUGACAUGGAUCGGGAGCGCUCAGAGAUGGGUGUGCCUCUUUUGGGGUCGGUUCACAGGUGGUGCAUGGCUGUCGCCAGCUCGUGUCGUGAGAUGUUGGGUUAAGUCCCGCAACGAGCGCAACCCUUGUUCACUGUUGCCAGCACGUUAUGGUGGGGACUCAGUGGAGACCGCCGGGGUCAACUCGGAGGAAGGUGGGGAUGACGUCAAGUCAUCAUGCCCCUUAUGUCCAGGGCUUCACGCAUGCUACAAUGGCUGGUACAGAGAGUGGCGAGCCUGUGAGGGUGAGCGAAUCUCGGAAAGCCGGUCUCAGUUCGGAUUGGGGUCUGCAACUCGACCUCAUGAAGUCGGAGUCGCUAGUAAUCGCAGAUCAGCAACGCUGCGGCGAAUACGUUCCCGGG